AUGAACCCCCAAAACCCCUCCACCACUCCCCCAGACCCCCCAAAACUGCCCCGGGAUCUGCCCAGGACCCCUCGGGACUCCCCCAAAACCCCCUCAGGACCCCCAGGACCCCCUCGGGACCCCCCAAGCCCCCCCGGGACCUCCCCAAAACCCCCCCAGGACACCCCAAACCCCCUCGGGAUCCCCCCAAAACCCCCCCGGGACCCCCUCGGGACACCCAAAACCCCCUCGGGACCCCCCCAAAACCCUCCCAGGACCCCCGAAGCCCCCCCGGGACCCCCCCAAACCCCCUCGGGACCCCCCCAAAACCCUCCCAGGACCCCCGAAGCCCCCCCGGGACCCCCCCAAAGCCCCUCGGGACCCCCCAGGACCCCCUCGGGACCCCCAAAACCCCCUCGGGAUCCCCCCAAACCCCCUCGGGACCCCCCCAAAACCCUCCCAGGACCCCCGAAGCCCCCCCGGGACCCCCCCAAAGCCCCUCGGGACCCCCCGGGACCCCCUCGGGACACCCCAAACCCCCUCGGGACCCCCCCAAACCCCCCCCAGGACCCCCGAAGCCCCCCCGGGACCCCCCCAAAGCCCGGCCCUGAAUGGCCGCGCUGUUCCCGCUCUGAGCCGCCUUUGUUCGGCCCGGGGGGGUGGGGGGGGCCCGGUUGCCAUGGGAACGGUCACCAAACCCCCCCCCCAACCCGGUGUCACCGCGCCAGCGCCACCCGCGGCCACCGGGGGGGCAGGGACCCGCUUUUGGGGGGUCCCCGCUCCAUUCUGGGGGGUCCCUGUUCCAUUCUGGGGGGUCCCCGUUCAAUUCUGGGGGGUCCCCGUUCAAUUCUGGAGGGUCCCCGUUCAAUUUUGGGGGGUCCCCGUUCCAUUUUGGGGGGUCCCCGUUCCAUUUUGGGGGGUCCCCGUUCCAUUUUGGGGGGUCCCUGUCCAAAUUUGGGGUCCCUGUCCAAAUUUGGGGUCUCCCAUAUUCCAUCUGGGGGUCCCCAAAUCCCUCCCAGAACCCACAAAUCCCCCAAAAUUCUCCCCCAAAUCCCCCCAAAUCCUCCACAACCCCCCCAAAAUCCCCCCAAACACCCCCAAAAUCCCCCAGACUCCCCCCAAAUCCCCCCCAAAUCCUCCUCAAUCCCCCGAAACCCCCCAAAAUCCCCGCAAAUCCCCCCCAGAUCCCCCAAAAUCCUCCCCAAAAUUCCCCCAAAUCCC
This 1200-nucleotide long non-coding RNA is filed under the name Taeniopygia guttata (zebra finch). Its description in RNAcentral is "lncRNA (ENSTGUG00000024517.1)". Lineage: Eukaryota; Metazoa; Chordata; Aves; Passeriformes; Estrildidae. The record is from RNAcentral.